RNAcentral lists this transfer RNA (68 nucleotides) under Marmota monax (woodchuck). RNAcentral's name for it is "tRNA.Met". The record is from RNAcentral. Lineage: Eukaryota; Metazoa; Chordata; Mammalia; Rodentia; Sciuridae.
GUUGUGGCUCAGUGGUAGAGUGCUUGCCUCAUAUGUGUGAGGUACAGGGUUUAAUUCUCAGCACAACA